Molecule: long non-coding RNA, 210 nt
Filed under: Mytilus galloprovincialis (Mediterranean mussel)
Lineage: Eukaryota; Metazoa; Mollusca; Bivalvia; Mytilida; Mytilidae
Source: RNAcentral
CGGUAAUAGUUGUGCAACUGUUGACUGAUGGAAGCAUAAUGAAACUUACAAAUACCGAUAUUAAAUGUAGACGAUUCAGAAUUUUGUAAAGAUUCAAUUAUAUUUUAGUACUUUAUAUUUUUUUGUAAGAUUUGACAUAAUUCCCGAACCAUUCGCCCACCCAAGAGAAGUUCUGUAAAACAGGAAGUCUAACAUUAGUAUUGAUUGUUC